This is a non-coding RNA of Triticum aestivum (bread wheat), 125 nucleotides long. Lineage: Eukaryota; Viridiplantae; Streptophyta; Magnoliopsida; Poales; Poaceae. The record is from Rfam.
AAUAUACUCCCUCCGUCCGGAAAUACUUGUCGUAGAAAUUGAUGACAAUGGAUGCAUCUAGAACAAAAAUACGUCUAGAUACAUCCGUCUCUCCGACGAGUAUUUCCGGACGGAGGGAGUAACAU